Molecule: ribosomal RNA, 477 nt
Filed under: uncultured bacterium
Lineage: Bacteria
Description: bacterial SSU rRNA
Rfam family: Bacterial small subunit ribosomal RNA
Source: RNAcentral
GAUCCUGGCUUAGGAUGAACGCUGGCGGCGUGCCUAACACAUGCAAGUCGAGCGAUUCUCUUCGGAGAAGAGCGGCGGACGGGUGAGUAACGCGUGGGUAACCUGCCCUAUACACACGGAUAACGUACCGAAAGGUACGCUAAUACGAGAUAAUAUGCUUUAGUCGCAUGGCUGAAGUAUCAAAGCUCCGGCGGUAUAGGAUGGACCCGCGUCUGAUUAGCUAGUUGGUAAGGUAAUGGCUUACCAAGGCGACGAUCAGUAGCCGACCUGAGAGGGUGAUCGGCCACAUUGGAACUGAGACACGGUCCAAACUCCUACGGGAGGCAGCAGUGGGGAAUAUUGCACAAUGGGCGAAAGCCUGAUGCAAGCAACGCCGCGUGAGCGAUGAAGGCCUUCGGGUCGUAAAGCUCUGUCCUCAAGGAAGAUAAUGACGGUACUUGAGGAGGAAGCCCCGGCUAACUACGUGCCAGCAGCGGC